This 464-nucleotide ribosomal RNA is filed under the name uncultured bacterium. RNAcentral's name for it is "partial 16S ribosomal RNA". It matches the Rfam family "Bacterial small subunit ribosomal RNA", at positions 28 to 507 of the family's 1533-position model. The record is from RNAcentral.
GACGAACGCUGGCGGCGUGCUUAACACAUGCAAGUCGAACGGAAAGGCCCUGCUUGCAGGGUACUCGAGUGGCGAACGGGUGAGUAACACGUGGGUGAUCUGCCCUGCACUUCGGGAUAAGCCUGGGAAACUGGGUCUAAUACCGGAUAGGAGCCAUUUUUAGUGUGAUGGUUGGAAAGUUUUUUCGGUGUAGGAUGAGCUCGCGGCCUAUCAGCUUGUUGGUGGGGUAAUGGCCUACUAAGGCGGCGACGGGUAGCCGGCCUGAGAGGGUGGACGGCCACAUUGGGACUGAGAUACGGCCCAGACUCCUACGGGAGGCAGCAGUGGGGAAUAUUGCACAAUGGGCGCAAGCCUGAUGCAGCGACGCCGCGUGGGGGAUGACGGCCUUCGGGUUGUAAACUCCUUUCGCUAGGGACGAAGCUUUUGUGACGGUACCUAGAGAAGAAGCACCGGCUAACUACGUG